RNAcentral lists this ribosomal RNA (387 nucleotides) under uncultured bacterium. RNAcentral's name for it is "bacterial SSU rRNA". It matches the Rfam family "Bacterial small subunit ribosomal RNA", at positions 28 to 417 of the family's 1533-position model. The record is from RNAcentral.
GACGAACGCUGGCGGCGUGCUUAACACAUGCAAGUCGAGCGGUAAGGCCCUUUCGGGGGUACACGAGCGGCGAACGGGUGAGUAACACGUGGGUGACCUGCCCUCAGCUCUGGGAUAAGCCCGGGAAACUGGGUCUAAUACUGGAUAUGACUCCAUGACGCAUGUUGUGGGGUGGAAAGCCUUGUGCGGCUGAGGAUGGGCCCGCGGCCUAUCAGCUUGUUGGGGGGUGAUGGCCUACCAAGGCGACGACGGGUAGCCGGCCUGAGAGGGCGACCGGCCACACUGGGACUGAGACACGGCCCAGACUCCUACGGGAGGCAGCAGUGGGGAAUCUUGCGCAAUGGGCGAAAGCCUGACGCAGCGACGCCGCGUGAGGGAUGACGGCCU